Molecule: ribosomal RNA, 253 nt
Filed under: uncultured bacterium
Lineage: Bacteria
Description: partial 16S ribosomal RNA
Rfam family: Bacterial small subunit ribosomal RNA
Source: RNAcentral
UACGUAGGGUCCGAGCGUUGUCCGGAAUUAUUGGGCGUAAAGAGCUCGUAGGCGGUUUGUCGCGUCUGAUGUGAAAUCCCGAGGCUCAACCUCGGGUCUGCAGUGGGUACGGGCAGACUGGAGUGCGGUAGGGGAGAAUGGAAUUCCUGGUGUAGCGGUGGAAUGCGCAGAUAUCAGGAGGAACACCGAUGGCGAAGGCAGUUCUCUGGGCCGUAACUGACGCUGAGGAGCGAAAGCGUGGGGAGCGAACAGG